CCUACGGGAGGCAGCAGUGGGGGAUAUUGCACAAUGGGGGGAACCCUGAUGCAGCGACGCCGCGUGGGCGAUGGAGUGCUUCGGCAUGUAAAGCACUAUCAGCAGGGAAGAAAAUGACGGUACCAGCCUAAGAAGCCCCGGCUAAAUACGUGCCAGCAGCCGCGGUCAUACGUAGGGGGCAAGCGUUAUCCGGAUUUACUGGGUGUAAAGGGAGCGUAGGCUGCCUGGCAAGCCUGAUGUGAAAUACCGGGGCCCAACCCCGGGGCUGCAUUGGGCACUGCCAGGCUGGAGUGCAGGAGAGGCAGGCGGAAUUCCUAGUGUAGCGGUGAAAUGCGUAGAUAUUAGGAGGAAGACCAGUGGCGAAGGCGGCCGGCUGGACGGUGACUGACGCUGAGGCGCGAAAGCGUGGGGAGCAAACAGGAUUAGAUACCCGUGUAGUC
Molecule: ribosomal RNA, 440 nt
Filed under: uncultured bacterium
Lineage: Bacteria
Description: partial 16S ribosomal RNA
Rfam family: Bacterial small subunit ribosomal RNA
Source: RNAcentral